Non-coding RNA from Bombyx mori (domestic silkworm), 85 nucleotides. The record is from Rfam. Lineage: Eukaryota; Metazoa; Arthropoda; Insecta; Lepidoptera; Bombycidae.
UUAACACAAAUUUAUAUGGAGUUGCAAUAGCUUCCCUUCGUUUGCCGCUAGGGGCACUGUUCUAACUCCAUACAAAUUUGAGUUA